UAUAUCAGUACGUGUUGGACUUCAGACCACUCCAAACAUGAAGUUUUUCAUUUCGUGUUCUUUACUUUUUUCACUUUUGUGUCUUUUGUAUUUACACCCCAUUGUUGACGCUAGUGUCGCCGUUGACGAGCCUCAUCCACAAAGAAAAUCUGGAGGAUGUUACUCUGAAGAAACUGGACAUCUACAAUCAGGACAGACGAUAACAGUUCCUGGAACAUGUACUUCUGCUUCUUGUAAUUCUGACGAGAGUAUUUCGCUCAAAAUAUGUGCUCUUAUUAGAACACGUGAUCCGAACUGUCACCUAAGUAAAAAGGAUCUGUCCAGACCUUAUCCGCAGUGCUGUCCAAGAAUAGUUUGUGCUAAAUAAUGCAUCA
This is a long non-coding RNA of Zophobas morio, 374 nucleotides long. RefSeq lists it as uncharacterized. The transcript is spliced from 3 exons. The record is from RefSeq and is a predicted model, not a curated record. NCBI's taxonomy places the organism in Eukaryota, Metazoa, Arthropoda, Insecta, Coleoptera, Tenebrionidae.